GGGAGCUUAGGUACCGGAGGGGGGGUGAUGCGGGGGGGGCAGGGGGUGUCCGGAGUUAUUGGGGGGAAAGAGCGUGUGGGGGGCCAGGUAGGUGGGGUGUGAAAACUGGAGGCUCAACCGUCAGACGUCGACGCAAACCCCCUGGCUAGAGGGCGGAAGAGGAGAGUGGAAUUCCUGGUGUAGCGGUGAAAUGCGCAGAUAUCAGGAAGAACACCCGUGGCGAAGGCGGCUCUCUGGGACGGUACUGACGCUGAGACGCGAAAGCGUGGGGAGCGAACAGGAUUAGAUACCCCUGUAGUC
This 300-nucleotide ribosomal RNA is filed under the name uncultured Bacillus sp. RNAcentral's name for it is "partial 16S ribosomal RNA". The stretch from base 52 to 300 matches the Rfam family "Bacterial small subunit ribosomal RNA", at positions 547 to 795 of the family's 1533-position model. The record is from RNAcentral. Lineage: Bacteria; Bacillati; Bacillota; Bacilli; Caryophanales; Bacillaceae.